UACGUAUGGUGCAAGCGUUAUCCGGAUUUACUGGGCGUAAAGGGAGCGCAGGCGGUGCGCCAAGUCUGAUGUGAAACCCCGGGGCUCAACCCCGGGCAUGCAUUGGAAACUGGCGGGCUGGAGUGCCGGAGAGGUAAGCGGAAUUCCUAGUGUAGCGGUGAAAUGCGUAGAUAUUAGGAGGAACACCAGUGGCGAAGGCGGCUUACUGGACUGUAACUGACGUUGAGGCUCGAAAGCGUGGGGAGCAAACAGG
RNAcentral lists this ribosomal RNA (253 nucleotides) under uncultured bacterium. Its description in RNAcentral is "partial 16S ribosomal RNA". It matches the Rfam family "Bacterial small subunit ribosomal RNA", at positions 524 to 776 of the family's 1533-position model. The record is from RNAcentral.